Parasteatoda tepidariorum (common house spider) is the source of this 2353-nucleotide non-coding RNA. NCBI's taxonomy places the organism in Eukaryota, Metazoa, Arthropoda, Arachnida, Araneae, Theridiidae. The record is from RefSeq and is a predicted model, not a curated record.
ACUUUUCUGCGCUGACAGAAAAGAACGAUUAUCUCCGAACAGACAGUUUACAAAUUAACUUAGAUCUUAUUGGUCAGCUAAAGUCACAUGCUUAAUUAUCUCUAUUUUGAUUGGUUCCUUUAUUUAUAAGUUUUUGUGUACAAUUCUCCGAAAUGCACCGAAUAUUACCGAUUUCGGUCUAUCUCGACUGUGAGUCGAGCUUUAUUAUUGUUUUGAUUUGAUUCACACAAACACACGCUGCUAGAGUAGGCAUUACUUAUGUUCAGCUAAUUUUAGUUUCCUAGCGUCACAUUGUUCUUUUUACAAAUUAUAUAUAGUAUUUUUGAUAAAAUAGCCUGGAAAAGGAAAUAUUUUCAUUCCUUUGAAGAAAAAAAAAAAAACAAUUACUGCAGGAUAUAUCUGUAUCGUGAUCUGGCACACCAAUUUUUCUGUUGGUCCCCUUCUGUGAUGUUUUUUGCUAGCUGCUGCUUGGUAGUCGCCAACACUUGGUGAUAAUCCUAUCCCUGAUCACAAUAUGGAAAUCUUCCUAUUAACAAGGGAAAUUCUAUGCAUUUUAAAAGGAUUGUGUGAUUGGAAGAAAAUAAUGAUUUUGCUUGGAAAAAAUAGUUUGUUUACACAAAGAAAUUUUUAUGUUUUGCAGUUAUGUGUUAAGCAAAACUAUUGGUAGAUUUUGUAGGAGCCUUGGGCAAAACGUCUUGCAGGACUUUUUUAAAUUUUGAAGGACCCUUAGUGAUCAUUAGGUUUUCGCUUAAAUUAUUGAAAUAAAUUACAUGAUUUAUUUCGAAGUUUUUUUUUAUUUCAUUCUUAGGAUCGAACAACAUUAACAUUUAUUUAGAUUUUAUUUUAUUGUCAAAUUCAUACUGUCACUUGAGUUUUAUUGAUAAUUUAUUAAGCGCAGGAACCAUAAGGAGGAAAUAUAAAACUUUGUGUUUAAGAGUCCUACUUAAUCAACAAAAAAUGAUUAAAUGCAUUUUAUUUUUCAUAUUUUUUUGAUUUUUAUGAAUAGUUUUCUUGUACUGGGUCUUUAGAAAUAAUUUUGAUCAUUUUUAUUUCCGAAGUAAUUUUGAAAAACUUAUCUAAAUUUUUACAAUUAACCAAAAAAAUUUAUGUGGGACCUCUCUACAGUUCUGUAAUGUGGGCCUUGGGCAGAUGCUCUGUUUGCCACAUUCUUAGAACAGCUUUUAAAUCUGCUGUUAAUUAAAGAUAAAUUUAUAUAUUCAUAUAAUAAUUUUUUUAAAUGUAUUCUCGAUUAUAAAAAUACCAGUUUAUUGCUUAAAUGCCAUUGCAACUCUAAUUCAGAGUAACACCAAUCUUUAAAAUUGGAUUUAACAAAGUUUUUUUAGUUUAUUUUAUUUUAAAUUUGCUGGAAUAUUAACAGACUAUGGUGAUAUAAUCGAAAGUCAUGAGAAUCUCGCUCAUCGAACUUUUUUGUUUUUAUUAACUUUCAAGUGAGAUAAUAUUAUUUUCAGUACUUGCACUAAUUAAUUUUUCUGAUGAAUUCACUCAUUUAGAUAUAAUGAUGAUAUGUUUGAUGAUUAUUUUCUAAUUUGUAUUAAGAGUAAAUAUGCUUUUGUAAUUCAGGAUUUACAAGCUUGUCAACUGUGAAGAAUAAAAACACCCAUUACAAAAUAAGUUUAUUAAAUAGUUUCUUUUCUUUUGAAAUUUCAUAUGUCACAUAAUAGUUUCAAUUACUCUAAACCAGGGAUGCUCAACCUAUGGUAAAAGUGGCCCUCAAAGCCUUUCAACUUGGGGCCCCUGAGCUGUCUGAAAUAUUAAAAACAUGAAAGGAGAGAAGAAAAAAAAAUUUUCAGCCAUGCUUUGUAACAGUUUAGUUUGCAUUCGCCUCUACCAGAACCAUUUGCUACUGCUUGUUCCUAUAUGGUUUUUUAUUCUCUUUGUAUGCCUGCUUUGUCCUUUCUCAUUGGCCAAAUUUUUUUGAAUCACCCUAUGUAAUUUGAAGUUUACUUACUGUUGUGUGGUUUCUAGCUAUCCAAGUGCAUCCUGUAUCACCAAAAGUUAGCUAAUCUGAAAUAUAUUAUUGGAAGCUUGUUGUGCUACUUACUACAACUGUUAUUCACUGAAAAAAAAAAAGUUAAGCUUUAAUACUCCUUAAAUUUACUCUGUAUGUUACAUGAACUAUUUUGAUUUUUUUUUCCAAAUCUUUUAGUUGUGUCUUUUUGGCAAGUUUGAUUUGCAAUGCCUCAAGAUUUUACAUGUUUUCACAGGCUUACAAAAAUUAUCAGCAGACGUAUUUUCAUUCUAUGUAUCACUAUUUUAUAAAGUAUUACAAUUUUUUCUUUGCAUAUGCUGCUGGUUUAACUAUAUUUUUUUUUAAAUCAAAAUAAAAAAUUCC